This 504-nucleotide ribosomal RNA is filed under the name uncultured bacterium. Its description in RNAcentral is "partial 16S ribosomal RNA". It matches the Rfam family "Bacterial small subunit ribosomal RNA", at positions 30 to 523 of the family's 1533-position model. The record is from RNAcentral.
AUUGAACGCUGGCGGCAGGCCUAACACAUGCAAGUCGAGCGGUAACACAGGGAGCUUGCUCCUGGGUGACGAGCGGCGGACGGGUGAGUAAUGUCUGGGAAACUGCCUGAUGGAGGGGGAUAACUACUGGAAACGGUAGCUAAUACCGCAUAACGUCGCAAGACCAAAGAGGGGGACCUUCGGGCCUCUUGCCAUCAGAUGUGCCCAGAUGGGAUUAGCUAGUAGGUGGGGUAACGGCUUACCUAGGCGACGAUCCCUAGCUGGUCUGAGAGGAUGACCAGCCACACCGGAACUGAGACACGGUCCAGACUCCUACGGGAGGCAGCAGUGGGGAAUAUUGCACAAUGGGCGCAAGCCUGAUGCAGCCAUGCCGCGUGUAUGAAGAAGGCCUUCGGGUUGUAAAGUACUUUCAGCGGGGAGGAAGGCGAUAAGGUUAAUAACCUUGUCGAUUGACGUUACCCGCAGAAGAAGCACCGGCUAACUCCGUGCCAGCAGCCGCGGUAA